Molecule: transfer RNA, 69 nt
Filed under: Erythrocebus patas (red guenon)
Lineage: Eukaryota; Metazoa; Chordata; Mammalia; Primates; Cercopithecidae
Description: tRNA-His
Rfam family: tRNA
About the family: Transfer RNA (tRNA) molecules are approximately 80 nucleotides in length. Their secondary structure includes four short double-helical elements and three loops (D, anti-codon, and T loops). Further hydrogen bonds mediate the characteristic L-shaped molecular structure. tRNAs have two regions of fundamental functional importance: the anti-codon, which is responsible for specific mRNA codon recognition, and the 3' end, to which the tRNAs corresponding amino acid is attached (by aminoacyl-tRNA synthetases). tRNAs cope with the degeneracy of the genetic code in two manners: having more than one tRNA (with a specific anti-codon) for a particular amino acid; and 'wobble' base-pairing, i.e. permitting non-standard base-pairing at the 3rd anti-codon position.
Source: RNAcentral
GUAGGUAUAGUUUAAUCAAAACACCAGAUUGUGAAUCUGACUAUAGAGGCUAGUUACUUCUUAUUUACC